Molecule: long non-coding RNA, 435 nt
Filed under: Mytilus galloprovincialis (Mediterranean mussel)
Lineage: Eukaryota; Metazoa; Mollusca; Bivalvia; Mytilida; Mytilidae
Source: RNAcentral
UAAUGAAAGUUUUAUAAAAACCCAGCAAGAACAUUAUAUUCUUCAGAGCAAUUUAAAGAUACUGCACAACUGGUAAAUGUCUAUAGGAAGACAUGUUACAUUGUUUUGAAUCCUGGGUUACAAGUCUUUGUUCAGACUCAUAAAUGCUGAGUGUUUAACCAAGAAGCAGCAAAUACCAAAUUUUAAAUCUAUGGAUUGACCCUAUCAGGGAUCAUGGCAAGUAAGCUACCACAAGACCAAUGUUAAAUUGAGAAUUGUAAUGGGGAAUGUGUCUAAAAGACAACAACCAAACCAAAGAUCACAAAACAGCAAAAGGCCAUCAAUCAGUCUUUGGGGUUAUGCUCAGCAAGAAAAUCCAGAAACCUGGCGGCAGGCUACAAACCUGUUGUAUGCAUUGAAGAAGUAAUAUAAGCAGAUUAAGAACUAUAAAGAGCC